UACUUGAGGAGACGCUGCAUACAGAUUG
Molecule: non-coding RNA, 28 nt
Filed under: Bombyx mori (domestic silkworm)
Lineage: Eukaryota; Metazoa; Arthropoda; Insecta; Lepidoptera; Bombycidae
Source: RNAcentral